UCGGGAAUUUUGGGCAAUGGAGGGAACUCUGACCCAGCCAUGCCGCGUGUGUGAAGAAGGUCUUCGGAUUGUAAAGCACUUUAAGUUGGGAGGAAGGGCAGUAAGUUAAUACCUUGCUGUUUUGACGUUACCGACAGAAUAAGCACCGGCUAACUCUGUGCCAGCAGCCGCGGUAAUACAGAGGGUGCAAGCGUUAAUCGGAAUUACUGGGCGUAAAGCGCGCGUAGGUGGUUUGUUAAGUUGGAUGUGAAAGCCCCGGGCUCAACCUGGGAACUGCAUCCAAAACUGGCAAGCUAGAGUACGGUAGAGGGUGGUGGAAUUUCCUGUGUAGCGGUGAAAUGCGUAGAUAUAGGAAGGAACACCAGUGGCGAAGGCGACCACCUGGACUGAUACUGACACUGAGGUGCGAAAGCGUGGGGAGCAAACAGGAUUAGAUACCCACGUAGUCCCUGAGCGGGCUGGCAAGGCGCAU
This 472-nucleotide ribosomal RNA is filed under the name uncultured bacterium. RNAcentral describes it as "bacterial SSU rRNA". It matches the Rfam family "Bacterial small subunit ribosomal RNA", at positions 355 to 825 of the family's 1533-position model. The record is from RNAcentral.